UAAGAAAUUUUGACGGGUUCGACAAUGACUUCCUGUUUACAUCGUACCAGCCAAAUAGCGACCGGCAUUGCGGGCUGCCAAUUUCGCAACCUCUGCAAUGCUCGGCAAAGCUCGGCACAGCCAGGCUGACACUGGGUAAAAUGGCGGAGUCUGCAAGCUCUUCAGAGCCCCAGCGAACGGUGCGUUAUCUGUCCCAGGAGCUGAGUGACCGGAGAAGAGCAAAAACCGGAGUAAAUAUCGGUGAAGCAUACGCUCGAUGGACUCAGGUAAAGGAUUUCCACGGCAUCUAAACACACGCGGAAAUGGCGAACUUUCUCCUGGAUCGGUCGAUUACCUAUCUUUUCUCGGAGGUAGAACUCCUGGCGUCAAUGUGAGAAGAAUGAUGUGCCGACAGGACCAAUGCCAUUUGAGGCCUGCCAGAAGAACCACCCAAGACCCUGAAGAAGACGGUUGAAAUUUGCAUUUCAGAUACCCUGUGAUAUGCUCCCCACAGACGGAGUCAGGUGGAUAAAGCAGGUGGACCGUCUGUGACAGAGGACGAUAAUGCAAGUGGACUGUCUGUGACGGAGAACGAUCAUGCAGGUGGACCGUCUGUGGUUCAGAGCCAUGAAAAUAUAGCAGUGCUUGAGGGGAGCAGAAGCCCCUCAUUGUUGGAGGACUCUGACAAAAAUUUUUUUUCUGUCUUUUUGAAGUUUAAAAUGAAUAAAAUUAAUCUUUUUUUCUCAUCGAUCUAAUCAAUAAAUAAGCUAAAAUUUCUAAAAAUAUGUUUUUGCUUAGUCAUAAUUAUUAUUUCAUUGUUCGAAGACAUUUUAUGCCUUUUUGUCGAUUUUUUCUUGUAUUAUUGUAUUACAAACUGUAUUUUGUGUUACUGUUGCCAAAAAGUUAAGUUAAAAGUUUAUGUUUAAAGUGUGGGCUUUGCCAGUUUUUGUUGAUUUUUUGGUCUUUUUGGUUCUAAAGGAUCGUGUAGUGGGGAAAUGAAAAUGAAUGAAAAGUUACUGCAAAACAUGUAUAGAUUUUUUUAAAAGCAUGUUAUCUAACUCUUAAAUAGUAUCAUUCCAGGAACAUUAAAAACUUUCAUCUGAAAAUGUUUUAAGAACAUUUGGGCAUAAUGUUCUAACAGAG
RNAcentral lists this long non-coding RNA (1122 nucleotides) under Sparus aurata (gilthead seabream). RNAcentral's name for it is "lncRNA (ENSSAUG00010016386.1)". Lineage: Eukaryota; Metazoa; Chordata; Actinopteri; Spariformes; Sparidae. The record is from RNAcentral.